GUAUUGGAAUACGGUGAGGGCCGGGACAGAAAAUGACAGAUGAUAAAGGGUACGAUGAACGCGGGCGACGAAUGAAACGUGAAAACUCAGGUCCACACACAGACACACAUGGACAUGGAUUGAUUAAAGUUGACACACACAGUCACACUUAUGUAUUUAUUAUAUCUGCUAUGAAGAGCAUUGAUCAGUGAGUAAAGUAGCAUCAAGUGUAAAAGUGUGUUGUGUUUAUCAAAAAAAACAGUGAAUGGUGACAGAAGAUAAAGAAGUUCCCGGCAUGACUCUCGAGGGUUUCUUUUCUGUUUCAGACUUUGGCUGUGUUAAAUCUCUUCCUUUCACUACAAAUCUUCUUCACUAGUCUUUAUCUACAUGUAAAAAGACAAUGUUCUGAAAUAUGACUUUAAUAAAGUUACUCACUCCAUUAUUUUCG
RNAcentral lists this long non-coding RNA (427 nucleotides) under Olea europaea (common olive). RNAcentral's name for it is "long non-coding RNA (OEUR_LNC012827)". Lineage: Eukaryota; Viridiplantae; Streptophyta; Magnoliopsida; Lamiales; Oleaceae. The record is from RNAcentral.